Molecule: ribosomal RNA, 499 nt
Filed under: uncultured bacterium
Lineage: Bacteria
Description: partial 16S ribosomal RNA
Rfam family: Bacterial small subunit ribosomal RNA
Source: RNAcentral
GACGAACGCUGGCGGCGUGCCUAAUACAUGCAAGUCGAGCGAAGUUUUUCUGGUGCUUGCACCGGAAAAACUUAGCGGUGAACGGGUGAGUAACACGUAAAGAACCUGCCUCAUAGACUGGGACAACUAUUGGAAACGAUAGCUAAUACCGGAUAAUAGCAUUAACUGCAUGGUUGAUGUUUAAAAGUUGGUUUUGCUAACACUAUGAGAUGGCUUUGCGGUGCAUUAGCUAGUUGGUGGGGUAAAGGCCUACCAAGGCGACGAUGCAUAGCCGACCUGAGAGGGUGAUCGGCCACACUGGGACUGAGACACGGCCCAGACUCCUACGGGAGGCAGCAGUAGGGAAUCUUCCGCAAUGGGCGAAAGCCUGACGGAGCAACGCCGCGUGAGUGAAGAAGGAUUUCGGUUCGUAAAGCUCUGUUGUUAGGGAAGAAUGAUUGUGUAGUAACUAUACACAGUAGAGACGGUACCUAACCAGAAAGCCACGGCUAACUACGUG